This 455-nucleotide ribosomal RNA is filed under the name uncultured Desulfobulbus sp. Its description in RNAcentral is "bacterial SSU rRNA". It matches the Rfam family "Bacterial small subunit ribosomal RNA", at positions 929 to 1382 of the family's 1533-position model. Lineage: Bacteria; Pseudomonadati; Thermodesulfobacteriota; Desulfobulbia; Desulfobulbales; Desulfobulbaceae. The record is from RNAcentral.
GCGGUGGAGUAUGUGGUUAAUUCGAUGCAACGCGAAGAACCUACCUGGUCUUGACAUCCCGGAGACCCUUAGGAACUAGGGGUGCUUCCAUCUGGAAGAAUCUGGAGACAGGUGCUGCAUGGCUGUCGUCAGCUCGUGUCGUGAGAUGUUGGGUUAAGUCCCGCAACGAGCGCAACCCUUGCCUUUAGUUGCCAGCAGUUCGGCUGGGCACUCUAAAGGGACUGCCGGUGUUAAACCGGAGGAAGGUGGGGAUGACGUCAAGUCCUCAUGGCCUUUAUGACCAGGGCUACACACGUACUACAAUGGCCGAUACAAAGGGCAGCGACACUGCGAGGUGAAGCCAAUCCCGUAAAAUCGGUCUCAGUCCGGAUUGGAGUCUGCAACUCGACUCCAUGAAGUUGGAAUCGCUAGUAAUCGUGGAUCAGCAUGCCACGGUGAAUACGUUCCCGGGCCUU